CGACAAAAAAUGAAUACUCCGUAGACAGUAGGUUGCUUAGGCAUAAAAUAUCCUACCGAGGUAAAGCUUGAAUGCAUAGUAAUCAAUUGAUUUGAUUCCUUAUGAUAUUUAUUGCCCUCGCGUGUCUGCGAGGGCUUUGUUUAUUCUCAG
The sequence is a regulatory RNA element, 150 nucleotides long. It matches the Rfam family "Ribosomal protein L10 leader". From Rfam's summary of the family: This family is a putative r-protein leader autoregulatory structure found in B. subtilis and other low-GC Gram-positive bacteria. The record is from Rfam.